RNAcentral lists this long non-coding RNA (1266 nucleotides) under Daphnia magna. RNAcentral's name for it is "uncharacterized LOC123474717". The record is from RNAcentral. Lineage: Eukaryota; Metazoa; Arthropoda; Branchiopoda; Diplostraca; Daphniidae.
ACAUCUUUUUUAAGAUUUGUUGAAAUCGUGAAACGCAGCAACUCAUGUAUUUUUUCGUCUGCUACGAGUGACUUGUGUAGUUCUGCGAAAUAUUAAUUUAAAAAAAAAACAGUGAUAGAAAAGGGGGUUAAGACCUCUUAUGAACUCAGAUACUUCAAUAUCAACAAUGAGGAAGAGGAUGAUGAUGAUGACAAGGAAUAAGUUCGUCUCCCCGUUGUUUCGUUUUUGCUGUAAAGUAAUAAACGAUGACCAUUAUAUUUGUACAAUUGUUACUGCAUUAAACUUGACACCAUUCCUUGACGCAUACUUUCAGGGUUAUUUUUACAUAAAAAAACUGUCAGUAUUAAGAUUAUUCGUAUGGAACUUUAGUAGGCUGUGUACGAAGGGAAUUAUAAUUUUGCAUUAAGAAGAUUCCAGGUUAUGAAGGAACUUGGUCUAAGCAUUUGCUAGUAAGAUGUCGGAUCCAUUCAUGUGGUUGCAUGUUUCGAUUUGACCAAUAAUUCGUAUCAGACAUGAAGGCUGGGAAGACAGUGAAAGUGAAGUAAAUGCAUUCUGCGUAAAGCAAUCGACCUUCAAUACAACUGUUAUCAAAUUGAGGCAAGUAAAAUAUAAUUAAGUGAAACUAAGCUAAUUUUCUAGAUCUCGAGUAAUAUUUUGUAAAUAUUUAUCUAAACUCAAAAUUGAAAGCCAGACAACAAGUAAUGGAAUGUCAUGUAUAUUUCUCAAUUUACAAAAAUUUCAUCACUUGAAUCAUAACAAAGAGCUUUAUCGACGAUUCAAAUCUAAAUCUUCCAUGAAGGAAGUUAAGUUCAGCCGAAUCUUUUUACUGCCUUGACUUACGCAUUGAAGAAGAUUCAUCAUCUGCCUAGGAGUAUAUUCCUUCAACAAAGGCAUAAACAAAAUUAUUAGCUGCUGACGACGCGAAUUUCUUAAAUUAAUGACAACGAAUUUUCAGGUAAAUAAUAUGCCUUUAUGUAUGUUUCGACAAUAUGUGGGUCAGGAAGAGGUCUUAGACGUGUCAAGCUUUCCACUUUGACUUGAAAAUGCCUGAAGUCUAACUGCAUUAGUGCACGACCUUCGUUCGUGCAUUUUCUUACAGCGGAAAAUCUAAAGAAUUUCAAAUCGGAUACGGUCUUACAUAAAGGAGGCAGAAUCUGAGGGUAACAGACACGAAGGACACUCAAGUCGUAGUCACUGAGAACCUGCGAAAGAAAUAAGAAUUAGAUCAUAGAUGGAAUAUGAUUUUGAUAGCUUUUUGUUUCAACA